RNAcentral lists this long non-coding RNA (371 nucleotides) under Fukomys damarensis (Damara mole-rat). Its description in RNAcentral is "lncRNA (ENSFDAG00000028299.1)". Lineage: Eukaryota; Metazoa; Chordata; Mammalia; Rodentia; Bathyergidae. The record is from RNAcentral.
GCUACUGAGUGCUUCCUCUAUGGCAGGGAUCUAGGAGAAGUUUGUUGCCCUCCCAUCAUUCACGGCUUCACGAUGUCUGAGACAAAUUCUCAGCCAAGAACUGGUGCAGCCUUGUGGGUGUGGCUGCUCCCUCCUUGGGAAGCUUAUGGAGGCUCUGAGGGUAGGGAGGGAGCCUCCAUCAGAUCUUGAAGAAUUCCAGCAAAGCAUAACACGGCAACAAGACAAAGGCACAGCAUGUCCGAGUCUGGGAGCUACACACAGGAGAGCAGGGCACAUGUUGCUUUAGGAUUAGCCACAUGCUAGACACUCUUCUACAUAUUAGGAAUUCAGAGGGAAGUAGAUGAGGUUGUUCCUAGAGCCUUCACAAAGGU